This is a long non-coding RNA of Xenia sp. Carnegie-2017, 643 nucleotides long. RefSeq lists it as uncharacterized. The record is from RefSeq and is a predicted model, not a curated record. Lineage: Eukaryota; Metazoa; Cnidaria; Anthozoa; Malacalcyonacea; Xeniidae. The transcript has 2 exons.
AGUACAGCAAUUAGUUAAUGAUGUAAACAGUAAAUGGUAUAUUUUAUUUUCAAAUGCAAGAUGUUAGUCUGCCAGACGACAAAAUAUCAGCUCCAUCAUGUGCGUUCGCACGAUGCAAACAAUAAUUCGUCCAAAAACAUUCGCAAACAUGUUCAUUGAUGACGUCUAUCGGAACAUAUAUAAUUACGUCAUCAUGAAUAGACGUUGUGGGCGAUUAUUGUGUUGAAAUAAUGGUUGAAGUACGCCGCGACUUGGAGGGAAUUUAAUAAAAUAGCACAGGAAACUCAUACAUGGCGAUCUAGUUGGAAAAAAAACACGAUGUUUAUUUUCAAGGACUUAAUGGUGGAAGAUGAGCGUCGAAGUCUUCAUCGUCAAAGAAUUCGUCGAACAGGAAGAGCAAGGGGGGAGAAGGAGGGAUAUUCUAAAGAAAAAUCCACGAGGUAACAACGUGCCAAUGAAUUUUCAAGGCAUUCUACGAAAAGCUUUCCCUUCCAAGACAAAUACAAUCCUUAUCGCAUUUUAAACCUCUCCAGUUACUAUGCGUAACACGACGUCCACGAUUAAAUUAGCUCACCUGCGCGGACGUUGUUUAUUUGACAAAAAAAAAAUAAUAAAAGAAUUUGAUGAAAAUUCCUAUCUCUUC